Molecule: unclassified non-coding RNA, 349 nt
Filed under: soil metagenome
Description: partial contains 5.8S ribosomal RNA, internal transcribed spacer 2, and large subunit ribosomal RNA
Rfam family: 5.8S ribosomal RNA (bases 1-120)
Source: RNAcentral
GAUGAAGAACGCAGCGAACUGCGAUAAGUAAUGUGAAUUGCAGAAUUCAGUGAAUCAUCGAGUCUUUGAACGCACAUUGCGCCCCCUGGCAUUCCGGGGGGCAUGCCUGUCCGAGCGUCAUUGCUGCCCUUCAAGCCCGGCUUGUGUGUUGGGUCGUCGUCCCCCCCGGGGGACGGGCCCGAAAGGCAGCGGCGGCACCGCGUCCGGUCCUCGAGCGUAUGGGGCUUUGUCACCCGCUCGAUUAGGGCCGGCCGGGCGCCAGCCGGCGUCUCCAACCUUCUAUUUUACCAGGUUGACCUCGGAUCAGGUAGGGAUACCCGCUGAACUUAAGCAUAUCAAUAACGGAGGA